UACAGAGGUCCCAAGCGUUGUUCGGAUUCAUUGGGCGUAAAGGGUGCGUAGGUGGCGUCGUAAGUCGGGUGUGAAAUCUCGGGGCUUAACUCCGAAACUGCAUUCGAUACUGCGGUGCUUGAGGACUGGAGAGGAGACUGGAAUUUACGGUGUAGCAGUGAAAUGCGUAGAGAUCGUAAGGAAGACCAGUGGCGAAGGCGGGUCUCUGGACAGUUCCUGACACUGAGGCACGAAGUCCAGGGGAGCAAACGGG
This 253-nucleotide ribosomal RNA is filed under the name uncultured bacterium. RNAcentral describes it as "partial 16S ribosomal RNA". It matches the Rfam family "Bacterial small subunit ribosomal RNA", at positions 524 to 776 of the family's 1533-position model. The record is from RNAcentral.